Molecule: long non-coding RNA, 2467 nt
Organism: Solenopsis invicta (red fire ant)
Lineage: Eukaryota; Metazoa; Arthropoda; Insecta; Hymenoptera; Formicidae
Exons: 3
Source: RefSeq, a predicted model, not a curated record
UCUUGAGCGCGCAAAAGUCAAAAGUUCCUUUAUUUAAGGCGCCAUGAGUUAGAACGAUUCCAGGGUGAUCUAGUUGAGGACCUUCGUCGUGGAUGGACACGGACACGCUCUUUUCAUGAUUGUCGCUCAUUGUGGGAGUGAUCAGGUCAACGCGGCGUUAUGAUUCCACUGCUGCGCGUCGUGUUGGUACACGAAUAUUUUCCGCGACUGCGAGCUCCCGUCUGAAAACAUUAAAUGUUGAAACAAACGAUUGCUGUAAGAAGCGCAUGUUUUCAAUCUUUAAUUUCUUUUUGGUGAGUUGCAUUAUCUCUUGUCCUUCAUUUUAAUAAUUUUUAGAAAAUCAGUUGCAUUCUACGAAUCACUGUAUUCCUUUUCCAUUUUUAAGUUCUCCUUAUUUAAUCUUAAUUUGAAAUAAUUUUUUGUAUUAAUCGAGACUUUUUGAAAAAACAAGUUGCAAUCUUUUUCUGUUCGAUGUGUUAAAUUCUCACUGUUACGUAUAAUGAAGGUGAGAAAGGAUUUUGAAGAAUCAGUCAUGUAUUAGUGCAUACAUACACAUUAGUACGUUAUUGGAAUCAUAUAAAAAGAUAUAAUUGUAUAAUCGCAUAAUCACAUAAUCUUGGAAAGAUAUCAACAUUACACGUAGAAGAUCCAUGUUUAACUUUUGCGUCAUUUUCCUUUUUAUAACGAAGCGUAUAUAUUCGCGUUUAAUCAGCAGCUGGCGUGGCACGAAUUCCUAAUCUGCGAAGAUCCAUUUUCGCGAUCUAACGACGGAAAGUUAAUAAAGAGAACCGCAUCUCCUCUCCCCGUCUCUCUCUCUCUCUUUCUCUUUCUGCCAUCGGAUCAUUCGACAAUGGAAAAAAGACUUUCGACCCUGCUUAAAUAUGUCCGACCGCAAAGCAAUAAAAUAUCUUUAUCUUACUCGUGCCAUUACCCCCUUGAUUCGGAGGGUUCCAAUUUACAUUCCUAUCGGGGGGCUUCGGCAAGAUAAGUCCAUUUAAAUAAAUUAGUAAUGCUAUCUCCUGCUCCGCGGAGACAUAGAACUGAGGAUGAAGGGAGGAGGAGGGGGCGGAUUAAAUAGUAUUUUAUCAAUUUUCACUGCGAUUCGUUACGCGGCGUGAUGCAACGCCAUUCUCCAUUGAAAAUCUCGUUUUGAUCGCGUGUUUUCGCGCGUUACGCAACGAUGAAUCACGGUGUCUGAAAAGUGUUUAGGGUGACCGCAUUGUUACCGUUGCGACCAAAGAUGGCAAAAAAUGGCACAAUAGAAUCGCUGGUUGCCCUGACGUAUUCCAUUAAAUAUUAAAAGAGUUUCUUGCAACGUUUCAAAGAAUCACAUUUUAAAGACCGCAUUUUUUUUCUUUGUUGUACAUGCGCGAGAGGUACGUGUAAUGGAUAAUUUACAUCUAAACCGGAAAAUGCCACGACAACUCACAGUUUACAUAUUUAAAGUACAAUAUCGCCAACAUGCCGUGUCUUUAGUAGAAUCGGAAAAAAUGCAUCGUGCGAGAAAAAGGUCGCUGGAAGAGGAAAACGGGAGAGAGAGAGAGAGUGUGUGUGGGGGGAAGGGACACACGUUUAAUUUUUCAAAACGGACCGUACGACGAGCCUUUUCGCGGGCCGUGACGCCCAUCUCUACACGCAAUUGCCUUUCCCUCCGUGCGUUGGCGUGUGUUGGUAGGACAAUAUAAUGGGGCAUAACAACGGCGUUAACACGCAGUGGCCGACCCCGGACACGACCCGCGACCCACCCCGGAUGAAAUACACCUCUGAUAAUUACUAGAAAUUAAUGCGGCAGCCUUACACAUACCGCCCAUUGUAAGCGAACGGCGCGCGAGUUUAACCGGCGGUCGAGUUUAAGCGACCUCGUAUUUACCUGCGUUAGGGGCGGUAAUCGCCACGAUUCUAACACCAGAUUAGCGAGGCUCGCUUGUAUUAAUUACCUCUACUCGCCACACACAACGGAAGAAUGAAGUGCGCCGGUAAAAUAGAGAAAGAAAGAAAGGAAGAAAGUACAGAAAUGGAUCAUGCGGUUCAAGCCUCUUAGUUACGUAGCUAGAAAUCUGAACAUGUUCUAAACAGAACGGAAUAAUCCCAUUUGGUAUAAAUAAACGGAGACACAUAAAUAACGAUUCUUCUAUAAUAGAUUACUUAGUAAAAUAAUCGAAAAUAUUAAUUUGUUAAAUAAUUAAAGUGCAGAAAUUAUUGUGCUGAAGAUGAUCCGAACGAGGAUCGAAACGUUUAUGUUAAUUUCUGAAUAAUUACAUGUUUUUUAUACACAAGAACAACUGUCGGUUCUAUAAUGAUCUCCGUACAUUCAACUAAUUUAUUAACAUUAUUUUUCGAUAUUAAUUCUUAACGGUCACUGGAGAUCUGUGUGACUCGAAUAAAAGUUUUAGCUAAAUUUUCUCUAUGUUAUUAUUUUAAUAUUGAACUUCUAUCGCUUAUGUAUCGACAGUUUUAAGUUUAGGUG